AUUGAACGCUGGCGGCAGGCCUAACACAUGCAAGUCGAGCGGAUGAAGGGAGCUUGCUCCUGGCUUCAGCGGAGGACGGGUGAGUAAUGCCUAGGAAUCUGCCUGGUAGUGGGGGAUAACGUCCGGAAACGGGCGCUAAUACCGCAUACGUCCUGAGGGAGAAAGUGGGGGAUCUUCGGACCUCACGCUAUCAGCUGAGCCUAGGUCGGAUUAGCUAGUUGGUGGGGUAAAGGCCUACCAAGGCGACGAUCCGUAACUGGUCUGAGAGGAUGAUCAGUCACACUGGAACUGAGACACGGUCCAGACUCCUACGGGAGGCAGCAGUGGGGAAUAUUGGACAAUGGGCGAAAGCCUGAUCCAGCCAUGCCGCGUGUGUGAAGAAGGUCUUCGGAUUGUAAAGCACUUUAAGUUGGGAGGAAGGGCAGUAAGUUAAUACCUUGCUGUUUUGACGUUACCAACAGAAUAAGCACCGGCUAACUUCGUG
RNAcentral lists this ribosomal RNA (484 nucleotides) under uncultured bacterium. Its description in RNAcentral is "partial 16S ribosomal RNA". It matches the Rfam family "Bacterial small subunit ribosomal RNA", at positions 30 to 507 of the family's 1533-position model. The record is from RNAcentral.